UACGUAGGGGGCAAGCGUUGUUCGGAAUUACUGGGCGUAAAGGGCGCGUAGGCGGCACAGCAAGUCGGGAGUGAAAGCCCGGGGCUCAACCCCGGAACGGCUUUCGAAACUGCUGAGCUAGAGUACAGAAGGGGCAACCGGAAUUCCCAGUGUAGCGGUGAAAUGCGUAGAUAUUGGGAAGAACACCUGAGGCGAAGGCGGGUUGCUGGGCUGAUACUGACGCUGAGGCGCGAAAGCCAGGGGAGCGAACGGG
Molecule: ribosomal RNA, 253 nt
Filed under: uncultured bacterium
Lineage: Bacteria
Description: partial 16S ribosomal RNA
Rfam family: Bacterial small subunit ribosomal RNA
Source: RNAcentral